CGCGAACGCUGGCGGCAGGCCUAAUACAUGCAAGUCGAGCGCCCGUAGCAAUACGGGAGCGGCAGACGGGUGAGUAACACGUGGGAACGUACCCUUCGGUUCGGAAUAACCCAGGGAAACUUGGGUUAAUACCGGAUACGCCCUUACGGGUAAAGGAUUAUUGCCGAAGGAUCGGCCCGCGUCCGAUUAGCUAGUUGGUGGGGUAAGUGGCCCACCAAGGCGACGAUCAGUAGCUGGUCUGAGAGGANAAUCAGCCACACUGGGACUGAGACACGGCCCAGACUCCUAC
RNAcentral lists this ribosomal RNA (289 nucleotides) under uncultured bacterium. Its description in RNAcentral is "partial 16S ribosomal RNA". It matches the Rfam family "Bacterial small subunit ribosomal RNA", at positions 29 to 342 of the family's 1533-position model. The record is from RNAcentral.